RNAcentral lists this ribosomal RNA (236 nucleotides) under uncultured bacterium. RNAcentral describes it as "partial 16S ribosomal RNA". It matches the Rfam family "Bacterial small subunit ribosomal RNA", at positions 118 to 354 of the family's 1533-position model. The record is from RNAcentral.
UGAGUAACCUGCCCCUGACUCUGGGAUAACUGCUGGAAACGGUGGCUAAUACUGGAUAUGAAGCCUUGCCGCAUGGUGGGGUUUGGAAAGAUUUUUUCGGUCAGGGAUGGACUCGCGGCCUAUCAGCUUGUUGGUGGGGUGAUGGCUCACCAAGGCGACGACGGGUAGCCGGCCUGAGAGGGCGACCGGCCACACUGGGACUGAGACACGGCCCAGACUCCGUACGGGAGCAGCAG